This 253-nucleotide ribosomal RNA is filed under the name uncultured bacterium. RNAcentral's name for it is "partial 16S ribosomal RNA". It matches the Rfam family "Bacterial small subunit ribosomal RNA", at positions 524 to 776 of the family's 1533-position model. The record is from RNAcentral.
UACGUAUGGUGCAAGCGUUAUCCGGAUUUACUGGGCGUAAAGGGAGCGCAGGCGGCGCGCCAAGUCUGAUGUGAAACCCCGGGGCUCAACCCCGGGCAUGCAUUGGAAACUGGCGGGCUGGAGUGCCGGAGAGGUAAGCGGAAUUCCUAGUGUAGCGGUGAAAUGCGUAGAUAUUAGGAGGAACACCAGUGGCGAAGGCGGCUUACUGGACGGCAACUGACGCUGAGGCUCGAAAGCGUGGGGAGCAAACAGG